RNAcentral lists this transfer RNA (60 nucleotides) under Loxodonta africana (African savanna elephant). It matches the Rfam family "tRNA", at positions 7 to 64 of the family's 71-position model. From Rfam's summary of the family: Transfer RNA (tRNA) molecules are approximately 80 nucleotides in length. Their secondary structure includes four short double-helical elements and three loops (D, anti-codon, and T loops). Further hydrogen bonds mediate the characteristic L-shaped molecular structure. tRNAs have two regions of fundamental functional importance: the anti-codon, which is responsible for specific mRNA codon recognition, and the 3' end, to which the tRNAs corresponding amino acid is attached (by aminoacyl-tRNA synthetases). tRNAs cope with the degeneracy of the genetic code in two manners: having more than one tRNA (with a specific anti-codon) for a particular amino acid; and 'wobble' base-pairing, i.e. permitting non-standard base-pairing at the 3rd anti-codon position. Lineage: Eukaryota; Metazoa; Chordata; Mammalia; Proboscidea; Elephantidae. The record is from Rfam by way of RNAcentral.
GUGGUUCAAAUGGUUAAGCUUUCAGCUACUAACUGAAAGGUUGGUGGUUCGAGUCCACCC